AUGACAGUAAUAAUCUCCUGCAUCUUCAAGCUGGGCAUCACUGAUGUGAAUGAGAAUGAAUUAUUGUGGAGGAUUUUUGGUGGAGGAACCAAACUGACUGUUGAAACUGCCGCUCGUCCCUCUCUCACGGUCCUGCCGCCCUCCAGAGACGAGCUGAUUGGGUUUGUAUCACUGUGGCGCACGUUCGGUGGAGGAACUCGACUCUCAGUUGGAACUGCCGCUCGUCCCACUCUCACGGUCCUGCCGCCCUCCAGAGACGAGCUGCAGCAGGGUAAGGCUACAGUGGUGUGUGUGGGCAGUAAGGGAUUCCCCUCUGACUGGAAGCUGAGCUGGAAGGUGGAUGGCAGCAGCAGGAGCUCUGCUGUGAAUCUGAGUCCCAGUGUGCUGCAGAAGGAUGGACUGUACAGCUGGAGCAGCAGCCUGAGCCUCACUGAGAGUGAGUGGAGCAGAGCAACAACCAUCAGCUGUGACGCCAAGCACCCAUCCCAGAAUGCAGUGACCGAGAGCCUGAACACACAGCAGUGUGAUGACCACUGAAACACACACACAUCACACAGAGAUUAUAGGCAUGCAUAUUUCAUUUACACUCACAUAUAUGCAGCUAUUUCAAAGGACUGUCCUAAAUCAGUCAAUGCUCAACAAUUAAUCCUUCGUUCUGUUAUUGUUCAAAUAUUCUUAUCUGUUGUUACAGCAAUGAUGUGUUUGUUGUUUUAUUGCUGACAAAUAAAAGCAUUUUGACUCAAA
This is a non-coding RNA of Megalobrama amblycephala (Wuchang bream), 744 nucleotides long. The record is from the annotation of a RefSeq genome assembly. Lineage: Eukaryota; Metazoa; Chordata; Actinopteri; Cypriniformes; Xenocyprididae.